Molecule: ribosomal RNA, 376 nt
Filed under: uncultured bacterium
Lineage: Bacteria
Description: bacterial SSU rRNA
Rfam family: Bacterial small subunit ribosomal RNA
Source: RNAcentral
UACGUAGGAGGCGAGCGUUAUCCGGAUUUACUGGGCGUAAAGCGCGUGCAGGCGGUCUGGUAAGUUGGAUGUGAAAGCUCCUGGCUCAACCGGGAGAGGUCGUUCAAUACUGCCAGACUCGAGGACGGUAGAGGAGAGUGGAAUUCCCGGUGUAGUGGUGAAAUGCGUAGAUAUCGGGAGGAACACCAGUGGCGAAAGCGGCUCUCUGGGCCGUUCCUGACGCUAAGACGCGAAAGCGUGGGGAGCGAACGGGAUUAGAAACCCCGGUAGUCCACGCUGUAAACGAUGCAAACUUGGUGUUGGUGGCGUAAAAACCUUCAGUGCCGAAGCUAACGCGAUAAGUUUGCCGCCUGGGGACUACGAUCGCAAGAUUAAA